CUCCGUGCCCAGGGCGCGGCCUUUCCCUCAGGGGGACACACCCCCAGCAGCCGGACAUGUCACAGCACCGUGACCCUGCCCGUCUCCCGGCCAGUGUCCUAGUGCCGCGAGAGCGCGGCCCCGCAACGCCCCGAGCCACCGCAGUAGCCCGCCCGCCCGCAGCCUGAGCCUUGUCCAACCCACUGCAACGCAGCAAAACGCCCAGCGCCAUUUCCUGCAGCGUCUGACACGCCAAGCCCUCACAGAGCCACUAUGUGACACUCCCCUUAGCAUCAUGUGCCGGUACCAUCUCAUCUCAGUCCCGACCACUGUGUAACACUGUGUCUCCUAACAGCCAGCGCACCUAAUGCCCAACAGCACCCUGCCCUGCAGCAGUCCAGCCAGCCAGCACCUCACAGCAUCACUAUGCAGCAUGACACUCAAUGCCACCCCAGUGCACUGCCUCCUUACCACAAUACCCUACAAGCACCACAGCAUAACGCCUCACCAACCAUAAUGCCUCUCCGUACCUCAACGUGGCCCAGCACCGCAACAAAAGCUCAUGUAGCACAACACCCUGCCCCACAAUGUGACAAAUUGCAGCACUUCAACACAAUGUCCCAGUUCUGUGAUAUCACAACACCACAGCAUGGCACUCUGCACCACUGCACAACAUGCUGCACCCAUAGGCGGCAGGGCUGGCAAUGCUGGGUGUGUGUGGGUGACCCCAUGUUGGCCUCCCCAGAUGAUGGAGAGAAGAAAGAGAUAAGACUGUGAGAGUCACUAGAUGUGUGGGCAGCAACAGCCUACUAGAUCCGGUAGUGGUGGACAGCCGAAGAGUGAAACAGCAUGGGAAAAAACGGGAGAGGGAUAAAACAGAAAAGGAGCCUGCAGGGAGGCAUGCUCACUUCUUCCUGCCAGUGACCAGACCAGUAAGAAUGUAUGCUGUCUCUUGACCUCUGCAGAUGGCCAGCAGGAAAGAAACUAAUUUCCUGUGGAAAGGGAACAUAUGGUCCUUGGGUUCUUUGUUUCAGUCCAGUCUCAGUGUUGCAGAAUAAUUAUGAGUCAAUGAGUCUCUUAUAAUCCCAAUAUCACCCCUUAAAUCUGUAAACCCA
Mauremys reevesii (Reeves's turtle) is the source of this 1094-nucleotide long non-coding RNA. RefSeq lists it as uncharacterized. Lineage: Eukaryota; Metazoa; Chordata; Testudines; Geoemydidae. The transcript has 2 exons. The record is from RefSeq and is a predicted model, not a curated record.